UAGCUACAGCGAGUGGAGUGGACUGAUUGGGCACUGAAACUCUAUAAUUGUUAUUCCGUUCUGGAGAUUUGUUUGGCGAUGUGAGAUAGGCUUUGUUUUUUGUGCAUCCCCACCCCUACCCAACACUCAUAUACCCAUCCCCACCUCCGGUGUAUAUAUAUAUAUUAUAAUAGAGAGAGAGAGAGAGAGAGGUGGCAGAGAUAAGGGCCUACUGCUCAGUCCAGCGCUUUGUGAGUUGUAUAGUCAAGUAUAUGGUUACGUAUUCACGUGAAUUGAAUGGUUUGUUGCGUGGGAAGGAAAAUAAAAAACAAAACCCA
Long non-coding RNA from Aplysia californica (California sea hare), 317 nucleotides. RefSeq lists it as uncharacterized. Lineage: Eukaryota; Metazoa; Mollusca; Gastropoda; Aplysiida; Aplysiidae. The record is from RefSeq and is a predicted model, not a curated record. The transcript has 2 exons.